GCACUGGUGGUUCAGUGGUAGAAUUCUUGCCUUCCAUGCGGGAGACCUGGGUUCGAUUCCCAGCCAGUGCA
Molecule: transfer RNA, 71 nt
Filed under: Trichechus manatus latirostris (Florida manatee)
Lineage: Eukaryota; Metazoa; Chordata; Mammalia; Sirenia; Trichechidae
Description: tRNA-Gly (TCC) (tRNA-Gly-TCC-2-1)
Rfam family: tRNA
About the family: Transfer RNA (tRNA) molecules are approximately 80 nucleotides in length. Their secondary structure includes four short double-helical elements and three loops (D, anti-codon, and T loops).
Source: Rfam by way of RNAcentral